UCAAACCCAAAUUAACCCCCUAACCUUGAUCGCCGGAAACAACCCACCCUUAACCCAAAUCGAAAGCCUUAACCGAAAAAUCAAACAAACAAAGAUAAUUGGUUCUACCUUGUAGAUCGGAACGACCGGAUCAAACCCGGUGGCGGUCGUGGUGUCGGUGGGCAGAGGCGGCGGCUAACAAACUCGCACUAAUGGUGGUGGUUUUGGUCUCGAACCGGAUCGGAAAUGACGGCGGAGGAGAUAAUGCUGCAGUGGCCACAACGGCCCGGUUGUUCUAAUUCGUAACUAUAGCCGCGGAGGUUGUUAGUGACGACGGCAACGAUUUGUUGCCGUGCGGUUUCCGACCCCUAGGUCGUGGGUGCGAAUAUCAUUAGCGGGAGUGACGACUUUGUGUCACAAAUCGGUGGCAUUGCACGACGAAAACGGUAACUGUGGCAUGGUGAGUGGUUGCGGAAAGGAAUCCGGAGAAGCCUUACGAAGAUGAAGAAAAAAAAUUAGGGCCUGCAACCAUUUAUUCUCAAGGUCUUCACUUCAGCCCUCAUAUUACAAGAGCUUUACACUAUGAAUCCUAAGGUUUAAAUUGGAGUAAUAAAGACCCUAAAACUUAAAAAUUAAUUCAAUCUAACAUAUUCUUAUUAUAUAAGUAUAAAAAUUACACUUAUCAUUUACUAAUCUAUUUAUUUGAAUAAAAUGCAAUACUUAAAAUAAAAGAUCCAGUUAAUUGUCACUAAUGGCUUACUCAAUUAUACAACGUAUUAAAUUUGUUUUCAAAAUUUUGGUAUGUUACAUAAUUAUUUGUUGAUUUCUGGCAAGGAAACACAUAGAACUAGAGUCAAACGCUCAUGUGUUGGUUAGAAUAUUACCAUUAGCAGACUUAAAUAUCAUAAAUAUCUUACUACUUAUCUUGGCCAGCUGUUGAAUUAUGGAUAGUCUCGAUGCUCAUGCCUAGUUUAAUGGCAUAAACCUGCAGUGAGACUUUUCUUUGAAGAAACUUAUAGCUGGAAGUAGUAGUUGUACACUAUCUCUGUAUCUUAAAAGUAUCCUCCUUUCAGGGUUAGUGGCGGUGAGAUCAACAACAUCUAAUUUUUCAGUUUCAUGCAUUCCUUUUCCUGUACAUAAGUUGCUAAUCAACACACUCAUUUUCCUUUGGUACUCUUGAGUGUUAUAGUUGAUUCUUAAGGAAACUUAUGGUAUUAGUGGAAAAGUUAUAUGUAAUGCACCGGAAAAGUGUACUGAUUUCCAUGUGUAAACCUUUAAAUUAUGGGUCAUGGUAUUGUACAUCAUGAUGUAUUCACAUAUGCCACAAACUUUCUAGUAAGAAUCUAGAGUAAUGCAUGCGUCUUAUGAG
RNAcentral lists this long non-coding RNA (1348 nucleotides) under Helianthus annuus (common sunflower). RNAcentral describes it as "hypothetical non coding rna". Lineage: Eukaryota; Viridiplantae; Streptophyta; Magnoliopsida; Asterales; Asteraceae. The record is from RNAcentral.